RNAcentral lists this ribosomal RNA (301 nucleotides) under uncultured bacterium. RNAcentral's name for it is "partial 16S ribosomal RNA". It matches the Rfam family "Bacterial small subunit ribosomal RNA", at positions 509 to 807 of the family's 1533-position model. The record is from RNAcentral.
CAGCCGCCGCGGUAAAACGAGGGGGGCAAGCGUUGUUCGGAAUUAUUGGGCGUAAAGGGUGCGUAGGCGGUUUGAUAAGUCAUCUGUGAGAUCUCUGGGCUCAACCCAGAGUCUGCAGGCGAAACUGUCGGGCUUGAGUAUGGGAGAGGUGAGUGGAAUUUCCGGUGUAGUGGUGAAAUGCGUAGAUAUCGGAAGGAACACCUGUGGCGAAAGCGGCUCACUGGACCAUAACUGACGCUGAUGCACGAAAGCUAGGGGAGCAAACAGGAUUAGAGACCCGUGUAGUCCCUGUCUCUUAUAC